Molecule: transfer RNA, 75 nt
Filed under: Chondromyces crocatus
Lineage: Bacteria; Pseudomonadati; Myxococcota; Polyangiales; Polyangiaceae
Also listed under: 1 other name
Rfam family: tRNA
About the family: Transfer RNA (tRNA) molecules are approximately 80 nucleotides in length. Their secondary structure includes four short double-helical elements and three loops (D, anti-codon, and T loops).
Source: Rfam by way of RNAcentral
CUGGGUGUGGCUCAACCUGGUCAGAGCGCCGGUUCGGGGAACCGGAGAUUGGGGGUUCGAAUCCCUCCACCCAGA